Molecule: long non-coding RNA, 1827 nt
Organism: Uranotaenia lowii
Lineage: Eukaryota; Metazoa; Arthropoda; Insecta; Diptera; Culicidae
Exons: 2
Source: RefSeq, a predicted model, not a curated record
AUCUUCUAUUUGCAGAUAGUUUAAUUCCAAAAUUUAAGGUAGUCAAAAGGACAGUAUUCUUUGAAUUAUGUAUGCAAAAUAGAAUUAAGAGAAACCUAACAUCACCGACUCAUAUUUAUUUAAAAACUGUCAAUCUCAAUUGGAGCGUGCUAUAUUCAUUUGAGUUUUAUAAUAUCUUAAUCAAUAUUCAUGGCUUAAUCAUUCACAUACUAUCGGUCUUAAUUUCUCUGCCAAAGUAUUUCUCAAUAACAAAUAAUAUAAGUUUCAUUUUACAUUUUUUGCUUAUCAAAGAAGAAUCGAUUUUUAAUAUCUAUGAUUUAAUAACAUACAUGAUCCCUCAAUCGAGUGUGCACAUAUUUUCCGGCACCGAGCCGCAGCCUUGAUCGCGUUGCGAAAAGAAUGUUCCUGGCGGGCACUCUCUGGUGACCAUCAUACCCAUCAUACACUGGUAAUGUAGCCUGCAGCUGUAUGGGAACUCGGACAGCGGAGGCCGAAGAAGAAUUCCUUCGGGCAUGUUAAUGCAGACAUUUAAUGCUUCCGAAGGAUCGCACGUGGCAACGCAUUGUUGAGCCCGUUGACUGAAGAACAACCCUUGGGGACAGAUCCAUUCAUGUUCUUGUUCAUGAUGGCAGGCGAUAAAUUCGUUGCAGAUAGUUGGAAGUGGGAAACGGAUCAUUAAACCCCCAGGAAUACCAUCACAGAAGAAUGCUUCGGCGCUUUGCGAUGCUAGCAGCAGUGAUGCAAACGUUACAAGAAAUGCUGUAGAUAAAAAUAUUUAAAAUGAUUUGCAGGAUGAUACCAAGUGAUAUUUUGCCAAACCUUUCCUCAUGUCGAUAACACAAGUUUGAAUAUUCAACUGAAAGCAAAAGUGUUUUAAAGGCGUAAACAAUCUUAACAUUUUUAUCUUUUUUGUGAAUAAAAUACUUUCAUUAUCUGGUGCUUACGUUUGGCAUUCAAAUUAAAAUGAUAAAACUUUCUAGGACGUUCUGGGUAUCUGCUGAUAACACUAACCUUAUAAAUUUGUCCAGUUAUUUGAUCGUCAUACCUAUACUGCCCAUCACAAACCUAUGCAGUUUACCUAUGAAACAAAAACAAUUUAUCGGAAAUCGUUGAUCCCUCACGCGCGAGCCUGAUAAAUUUUAUCGAAAUACGCCUAAUUAUAAGCUUAGUUUCGACAUUUUUGUUAUUAUCUUACUAGUCUUUUUAUCGUAAGGACAGCACAAGCAUCAUUCCAAAGGGUGAUUCCGACAGAUCAGGAAGUCAAAUACGUUUAGUGAAAUGUUUUCAUCGAUCGUUAAAAUUAUUAGCUUUCUUGUUUUAAUACUUUUCCUGUCAGUUGAGAUAACAUGGGCUAGUAAUAUGUGCGACGGUCUUCCCGGAGGGACUUUGGUAAAAUGGCAUGAGAGUGCGGUCUGUGAUCGGUUUUAUGCCUGUCAACACGGCGUGGACCAUGAGUGGUUCUGUCCACCGGGUCAAUCCUUUAGUCAACGGAAUCAGCAAUGUGUGGAUCAAUGCAAUGUAUUAGAUCAGAAUCAAUGGUGUGCUGGAUUGCCUAACGGAUUUUUCAUACGAGUUCCCCCGAAUGAGCCAGCAAAUUGCAACAUGUACUACACGUGUUGGAACAAUGUGAUGCAUGCUCAAACGUGUCCCGGUGGACUGUUUUUCUCGCAACUGCACCAGAUGUGUGGCAACAGCAUAGAGCACUGCUAAAGCUAAAAGAUAUCUGUUGCUUUAAAUGAAAUUGAGUGAAGCAUAUUAUGCUAUGAAUAACAAAAUAAAUAAAUAAAAUUAUUUGUUUUCUGAGAAAAUUAAACUUAAAGAUUAAAA